This is a long non-coding RNA of Corvus hawaiiensis (hawaiian crow), 376 nucleotides long. RefSeq lists it as uncharacterized. NCBI's taxonomy places the organism in Eukaryota, Metazoa, Chordata, Aves, Passeriformes, Corvidae. The transcript is spliced from 3 exons. The record is from RefSeq and is a predicted model, not a curated record.
GCUCCCCACCCCUCCCAGCCAUGGGCCUUGCAAGUGAGGUCCCCAGCUGUAUUUCCUCUUCCCAGAUUCCUCCCAGGGCCAUGUUUCCCACAAAGGCCAGACCUGGUGAGUACUAGCAAGGUGGGCAGGAAGAUGAGGCUGCCCAGCCUGUGAGGCAUCACUCCGGUGACAGGGAGAAGCAGCAGAUUCCUUGUUGCCAUGGUAAAAGAUCAGUGUGGGGGUGGAUAUAAUCUACUCUGACUCCUUGGAAGACUGACUGGUGCCUUGGAGAGGAACUGGAGUGAGUUGAGCACCCCCUGAGCUGGGCCUGAGCACCCACCCUCUGCUUUCCCCCUUGGAGAUCCACUGUGCUUGCAUCGGGACCUCCCAGCCACUG